AUUGAACGCUGGCGGCAGGCCUAACACAUGCAAGUCGAACGAUGGGGGGACGGGUGAGUAAUGUCUGGGAAACUGCCAGAUGGAGGGGGAUAACUACUGGAAACAGUAGCUAAUACCGCAUACCAUCGGAUGAGCCCAGAUGUGAUUAGCUAGUAGGUGGGGUAACGGCUCACCUAGGCGACGAUCCCUAGCUGGUCUGAGAGGAUGAACGGCCACACUGGAACUGAGACACGGUCCAUACUCCUACGGGAGGCAGCAGUGGGGAAUAUUGCACAAUGGGCGCAAGCCUGAUGCAGCCAUGCCGCGUGUAUGAAGAAGGCCUUCGGGUUGUAAAGUACUUUCAGCGGAGAGGCGUUACUCGCAGAAGAAGCAACGGCUAACUCCGUGCCAGCCGCCGCGGUAAUAC
This 406-nucleotide ribosomal RNA is filed under the name uncultured bacterium. RNAcentral's name for it is "partial 16S ribosomal RNA". It matches the Rfam family "Bacterial small subunit ribosomal RNA", at positions 30 to 526 of the family's 1533-position model. The record is from RNAcentral.